Molecule: long non-coding RNA, 707 nt
Organism: Suricata suricatta (meerkat)
Lineage: Eukaryota; Metazoa; Chordata; Mammalia; Carnivora; Herpestidae
Exons: 5
Source: RefSeq, a predicted model, not a curated record
CUCCUCUUGUAAGGACUCUGUGAUUACUUUGGAUCCUCUAGAUAAUCUAGGAUAAUCUAAUCUCCCCAUCUCAAAACAAUCACAUUUGCAAAAGCCUGUCUACCAUGUAAGGUAACAUAUCCACAGAUUCUUAGGAUCACGAUGUGGACUCCAGGGAAGGCCAUUAUUCUGUCUACCGUAAUGAUGGUACAGAUACAGAAUAUAUGUUAAGCUGGACCACAUCUGCAUCCUAGUCCUGGCUAUUACAACCUUGUACCGGAGUCAGCCACAGAUGAUGAAACACAAUUAGCAGGAGUCUCAAAGAGUGCAUGCCUGUGACCAUGUUGUUGGCAGGUUUGAUUCAGAAACACUUACUAUCAGCAUACAACAUUCAGAAGAACAACUAAAAUUUCAAAGAAUGGUCUACCAAGUAUCGGCAAGGAUGUAUCUUACAGACAAAAAGAACUGCAAGAAAAACCCAAAAGCGAAACGACAAAGCCCUCACCCGCACUCAGUAUUAACAUUAUCAGUAGUAACACCUUAUGGAAGCACAGUAUGAGAGAAAUGCAUGAUCGUGUUAGAUCGACAGCCUGGAUUUUUGUCAUGGAUGAAAGGAGAAAAAGCCAGGUGAGCACAAAGCAAGAAGCCAGCAAGAGUCCUCAUCAAAAAUUAUGAUCUUGAACUUUCAGCCACCAGAACUGUGAGAAAAUAAAUUUGUUUUUUGUUUU